AGAUAGUGUCAUGAGACUGCCAAAAUCCAAAACAAGGAACUAUGACAACUAAAGCACAACUCCUCUGCAGUUUUACUGAGAGGAAAUAUAUUGCUUUUAAAUUGUCAAGUUUGCUAAUCAAAAUAUCAUUAAAUUCUCACAAAAUAUGAAAUAAAUAAAAGUUACAAAAUUGAAAAUGAAUGGACACCUUUGCUUGGAGGACUACAAAUGUUCAAAAUUAGGGUAUGUCUAGGUGCCACCGGUCUUCUACAAUGUAAGAAACAUAUAUUCAUAUAUAUACCAUGGCUGUCCUUCUUUAUUCGAUAAUAGAGAGUGAUAGCAUAAGAAAUGACCUCUUACAUUUUUUGUUAUAGGAAAAAAAUAAUAGCAUUGUUAGUUUUGAACUCUUAAUUUAACUGCAGAAGCAGAUAAAAAAUUGUAAGUGAAAUUUUAUUUCUCUAUUCCAGAAUUUUGCAAGAUAAAGGAUUAUCAAAGUUUUCAGCUGUUAUGGAAUUUACAGAGAACCUGUAUAAUUCAGGUUGUAGGUCUCCACAUUUGCUUGGUUACAUCAUAGAUUGUAUUGAGGAAUCCCUGCUCAGUGAUCCAAAUCCUGAAUUGUUCCAGAAAGCAAUAGAUCUUUGUGAAGCAUUAGCAAGCAAGCAUGAUACAAUUAGGAAAGAAUACUGGAAUUACAUAGCUAGGAAUUUAGGACAUUUGUAUGGUCCAGAAGAAGCUCAUGCUCAUGCCAGUGAAAAUAAUUCAUAAAAUGGGGGACACUUAUGCAAAAUUGCCUUCAUUUUGUACAAAAUGUAUUAUUUUGUGUUAAUUCUCUUUUCAUCAGUUCUGAUAUUAAAAGGAAUUUAUCAUUUGUGCAAUUAAAGGUAAAAUUAUGUUGUUCACAAGAUUAUGCAUGCUAGAGAUUUUGCAUAUUUUUAUCAAUGUGUCUUGCUAAUAUAUAAUGCAGAUUUAAAAUCUAAAUGAUAAUUGUAACUGAUAAGUUUAAUUAUGCAGUUAAGAAGCUUAAAGUUGUGUGUUUAUGUGUAUAAAGAUAAACACAAACAAAGAUUUUUUAUUAAAAUUAUGUUACAAGAAUUUUUUUAUCAUGCUGAAAUUAACAGUACAGAUAAAAUUCUUAAGAUUUAGGCACUCAGAGCUGUAUUUAUGAAAUUUUUUUGUUGUAAUGUCUUUUUGUUUUAGCAUGGUCUUAACUAUGAUUUUGAUUUCACUGUAAUGGUUUCCAUAAUAAAUGCUAGUGAGCAUAAAAUUAAUAAUUUAAUUUGUUUUAUUUUUGUUUAUUUAUUUACGAGGGCCAGUCUGAAAUUUUUGAGAUACAUAUAGGUUUUUAAAAUUAUACUUACAAAAUGUUAGGAGUGUCUCCUUCAGCAUCAGUGCACUUCUAUAAGCAAAUUUUCCAACGAUUAAAUGCUUCAAGCCAUUCAUUUAUUGGAAUUGAUGAAAAAAAAAAUGCAUCUAUAGACUCAUCAAUCUUAUCUGUGGAAUGAAAACGAUAUCCACAUAAUUUCUUUUUUAGAUUAUAACAGUCACACAUGGCUAAAUCAGGUGGAUAGGGUUAAUAUUCUAUCACUUUGAUGUGUUUUUGUUCAAGGAACUCAACUGUCAGUCUUGCUGAAUGAGAAGAUACAUUGUUGUGAUGGAGCAUGAGUCCUCUAUCCUUCCCUUUUUGAAGAAUUCUGAAAGGCAGUGGUGUACCAGUUAGCUGUAACUGUCUUUUGUCCUUCUAGCUUGAUGGCUUUGACCAGUCCUGUACUUUUGAAGAAAACAGCGUGCAUUAUUUUUUUAUCGCACAUUGUCUUUUCAUUAUUGUGGGCAUGGGAUAAUCUUCGAAAACCCAUACUUUUAAUUUCUUGAUGUGUUAGAAUGUUUAAAAAAAAAAAAAAAAAAUAACAAUAAUUUGUGAGUUUCACCACCAGUUACAAUUUUAGAAAUAAUGCAGUGCCCACUUUCUGUAAGUAAUUUAAGGGUUUCUUCAGUGAUUCUGACAUGCUCUUUUUUUUUUUUUUUUUUUCUAUUCAGUUAAAUUAUGGAGAAGCCAGUGGCAAACUAGUUUUUUCAUAUGUAAUUAAUGAGUAAUGUUGCGUAUGGUGGUGGAUCCAGUGUUAAGUUCCUUUUGUAUCAUUCGGUAGGUGCAGUGAUUAUCAUCAACAUUUUCCAUAUGACAGACACAUUAUCCAGGAUUACUGCUGACAACGGCUUUCCUGCAUGUUCUUCAUUCCAAAGAGGUUGCGUCCUCUAUGAAAUUCUGUAAACCAUCUGAAUACAGUAGCACAAGAUAAACCUUCAUUUCCAGAUGCUAACUGUAGACAUUGAUUGCAUUCUUCUUGAUUUAAUCCUGCUUUAAAAUCGUAGAAAAUCAUAGUGCGAUAAUUUUCUCACAUCAACUACAUUUUUUUCUUCUGCAAAAAUUUAUUCUGCACUAAACUACUUAACAGUUUUCCAAUAAAAAAUUGUCUGCUAGUCUAAAAUAAUCCAUAUUUUCAAAUUUAACCAUAUUUUUUUUUUCUGCCACGUUGAUAUUGAUCUUCAUGAAAAGCAGCUUUAAUCACAAAUAAUGAUUAAUUUUAUAAACUGUUUCCUCCCUUUACUUCUUUCUUUGUAUUCACUUGUAAUGGUAAUUACAGCAACCUAAUGCAGAUUGUUAUAAGUAACAGGUUAACCCCCUUCCCCCCCCCAAGUCUGAUAUCAACUUUAUUAUCUGUGGGAACAAAUGCAGACUCAAAAUUUUAUUUUAGGAUUAUAGAUAUUUUAAAUUUAUAACUUCAUUCUUUUCCAAUAAUUAAAAAGUUGAGAAUUUAUUAUUUACGAAACAGAAAUUUCAAAUUUAUGCUGUCUUUGUUGUUUAGUUUUAGUUCUUACAAUGUGUGUUUAAAAAUGCAUAUUUAUGAUUAAUAAAUAAGUUAUAGGAAGAAAAAGGGGAAGUUGUAUUUUAUAAAGUAUUCAAAUUGAACAGAAUUUGUAAUUGGAAAUAUUUAGUCAUUUGAGUUUAUUUAGAGUAUUCUUAAUGAUUGUUUUUAAGUGUAAACUAGCAAUUGUAUGUUUAUUAAUUUACUUUUGUAUGACAUUAAACAUUCUUCAUUAUUAUUAUUAUUUUAAUGCAUAAUGGUGACUUCUGUAACUAUUAAGUUUUAUUUACAAAAAUUUUAUUGUGAUAAAAAUGCGAUUAACACAAUACUUUUUAUGCUAAAGCUUUAGUUGUUUUAUAAUGUGAUAUUAAGAUAAAAAUUUAUUUUUCUGGUACUGUUUAUUAAUUUUAUAAGACAUUUGAUAACAUAAUCUUUGAAGAGUCUUUUUUUCUAUAUUUUACCACAAAAAGUUGAGUGUCAUUAGAAGAAGCCAACAUGGCAACAUAAAUGUACUAUACAUUUUACUAAUGGAAAUUCACUAACUAGGCCAAAAAAAAAAAAAAAGAUAGAUCCAUUAAAUAUGAUACUAAAAUGAAAUGCAGUAUGUCUUUUAUGUUUCCAAAAUUAUGUAUACCAAAUCUGUGAUUUAAAAAUUUUGAUUCUGAAAAGUUCAAAUGUUUAGAUUACAGAUUCUUUGACAAUAAAUGUGAAAUUUAUUUUGAAGCUUCUCAGUAGGAAAGAAAAAUGGAAAUCUUAAUUGUAAGGAAACAAAUAGUUUUUGUUAGUGUUGAACUUUAUGCAAAUAACAUUUCAAAUGCACAUUUAAAAAUUAUUAAGCAUAUCUUAAAAAGUUCUGUGAAAUGUGGGAUAAGUGAGGUACUUGCUUGAUGUAAAAGAAUGAAUGUGUGUAUAAAAUUAAAAUAUAAUGACUUAUAUGAACAUGAUAAUUGAAAGGCACAGUUUUAAAAUUUUCUCCAGAUAUUAAAAUCUCUUUGUACUCCUCUCAUUUUCUUAUUAGAUAUUACCUUUGCUAAAGCUGGAGGAGUAAAGCUGCAAAAGUUUCAUGAAAGCUAUAAAAUAAUUAAUAAGGUUUUCUGUUUUGGUAAUUACACAAAAUACUCUGGAAUCAAAUAUAGAGAUGUAAAUUGAUUUUGUAGCAGUCCUAAUCAGUUUUUAUUUGCCUAAGGAUGACAUAGAUUACAUAUGCCUAGGCAUUAUUGUUACCAGAAAAUAUUUAUUUUUGCUGUUACGAAAGUAUAUUGACUUUAAAAUUUUGCUACUCCUUUUUCUGUCACUUUGAUAAUCAUAUGUAUUGAUUAGAUUUCAGUCUUUAUUUAGUUUAUGGAUAUAAGAGUAGCAACACACAUAUUUGAUUGUAAAAUUUACUAGUUUUCAUCUUGUGCAAAAUCAAUAACAAUACCCAUCUAUAUUAAAAUGUAAUUAUGAAGUUUUGUGAAAAUAUAUUAAAAUAUUUUAAAUGAUU
Long non-coding RNA from Stegodyphus dumicola, 4323 nucleotides. The record is from RefSeq and is a predicted model, not a curated record. NCBI's taxonomy places the organism in Eukaryota, Metazoa, Arthropoda, Arachnida, Araneae, Eresidae.